UACGAAGGGUGCAAGCGUUACUCGGAAUUACUGGGCGUAAAGCGUGCGUAGGCGGUUUGUUAAGUCCGCUGUGAAAGCCCUGGGCUCAACCUGGGAAUUGCAGUGGAUACUGGCAAGCUAGAGUGCGGUAGAGGAUGGUGGAAUUCCUGGUGUAGCAGUGAAAUGCGUAGAUAUCAGGAGGAACACCGAUGGCGAAGGCAGGUCUCUGGGCUGACACUGACGCUCAUGCACGAAAGCGUGGGGAGCAAACAGG
This 253-nucleotide ribosomal RNA is filed under the name uncultured bacterium. RNAcentral's name for it is "partial 16S ribosomal RNA". It matches the Rfam family "Bacterial small subunit ribosomal RNA", at positions 524 to 776 of the family's 1533-position model. The record is from RNAcentral.